UUUUAAAUAUUGCUGUCCUGGUAUUUCAUUGAACAGGUUAGGCUGGACACUUGCUAUUUUAAAACUGCAGUGUGUCUCUGGGACUUGCUUGUUUCUCUAGUUGCAUUUGUAAUGGCUAGUGAUAUUU
This 127-nucleotide small nucleolar RNA is filed under the name Pelusios castaneus (West African mud turtle). Its description in RNAcentral is "Small nucleolar RNA SNORA72 (ENSPCEG00000009759.1)". It matches the Rfam family "Small nucleolar RNA SNORA72". Rfam says of the family: U72 is a member of the H/ACA class of snoRNAs. The snoRNA gene is located in intron 4 of the ribosomal L30 protein gene in human, mouse and chicken. The record is from Rfam by way of RNAcentral. Lineage: Eukaryota; Metazoa; Chordata; Testudines; Pelomedusidae.